AUGUCCUGCCACAGUGUCUCAUCUGUCCUCCCCGAGACCCAGUGUGCCCCUACACUUCAGCGCACUCUGUCCCUAGUGCCCCCUCACCUCCGAGUGCCCUUCCCCUGCCCAGCUCAGGGGUCCCAGUGCCAGCCCCCAUCACCAGUGCUGCCCUGGUACCAGUGCCUCCUGCCGCGGGCCGUGUGCUCUCCCCAGCCCAGCUGGAGGAGCAGUGUCCCGGUGUCCCCAAGGGCUGCUCCAACCCAGCGUACCGAGCAGUAUCCCGGUGUCCCAGCAGUCCCGGUGUCCCCGCUGUCCCGGUGUCCCCGCAGUCCCGGUGUCCCCGCUCUCCCGGUGUCCCCGCUGUCCCGGUGUCCCCGCAGUCCCGGUGUCCCCGCAGUCCCGGUGUCCCCGCUGUCCCGGUGUCCCCGCUCUCCCGGUGUCCCCGCAGUCCCGGUGUCUCCGCAGUCACGGUAUCCCCGCAGUCCCGGUGUCCCCGCUCUCACGGUGUCCCCGCUCUCCCGGUGUCCCCGCUCUCCCGGUGUCCCAGCAGUCCCGGUAUCCCCGCAGUCCCGGUGUCCCCGCAGUCCCGGUGUCCCCGCAGUCCCGGUAUCCCCGCUGUCCCGGUGUCCCCGCUGUCCCGGUGUCCCCGCAGUCCCGGUGUCCCCGCUCUCCCGGUGUCCCCGCAGUCCCGGUGUCCCCGCAGUCCCGGUGUCCCCCGCAGUCCCGGUGUCCCCGCAGUCCCGGUGUCCCCGCUCUCCCGGUGUCCCAGCAGUCCCGGUGUCCCCGCAGUCCCGGUGUCCCCGCUCUCCCGGUGUCCCAGCAGUCCCGGUGUCCCCGCUCUCCCGGUGUCCUCAGGGCCGCCCCUGCCCCCGCGUCCCCUCAGCGCCCACCCCGACCCCGUCCCCAGCCCCGCCAGCCCCGCCCCUGCCAGCCCCGACCCCAGCCCCGCCAGCCCCGCCAGCCCCGCCCCCGCCAUCCCCGCCAAUCAGACCGCGCUAUUGCCGAUUGGCCCCGCCCCCUCCCUGUCAGUCACGGCUC
Molecule: long non-coding RNA, 1020 nt
Filed under: Taeniopygia guttata (zebra finch)
Lineage: Eukaryota; Metazoa; Chordata; Aves; Passeriformes; Estrildidae
Description: lncRNA (ENSTGUG00000025558.1)
Source: RNAcentral